UACAGAGGGUGCGAGCGUUAAUCGGAAUUACUGGGCGUAAAGCGUGCGUAGGCGGUUUGAUAAGUCGGGUGUGAAAGCCCCGGGCUCAACCUGGGAAUUGCAUUCGAAACUGUCAGGCUAGAGUCUAGGAGAGGGAAGCGGAAUUCCGGGUGUAGCGGUGAAAUGCGUAGAUAUCCGGAGGAACAUCAGUGGCGAAGGCGGCUUCCUGGCCUAAGACUGACGCUGAGGCACGAAAGCGUGGGGAGCAAACAGG
RNAcentral lists this unclassified non-coding RNA (253 nucleotides) under uncultured Gammaproteobacteria bacterium. Its description in RNAcentral is "contains 16S-23S intergenic spacer region". It matches the Rfam family "Bacterial small subunit ribosomal RNA", at positions 524 to 776 of the family's 1533-position model. The record is from RNAcentral. Lineage: Bacteria; Pseudomonadati; Pseudomonadota; Gammaproteobacteria.